Molecule: ribosomal RNA, 253 nt
Filed under: uncultured bacterium
Lineage: Bacteria
Description: partial 16S ribosomal RNA
Rfam family: Bacterial small subunit ribosomal RNA
Source: RNAcentral
CACGUAGGGCGCAAGCGUUGUCCGGAAUUAUUGGGCGUAAAGAGCUCGUAGGCGGUCUGUUGCGUCCGCUGUGAAAACUCGGGGCUUAACCCCGAGCCUGCAGUGGAUACGGGCAGACUAGAGGUAGGUAGGGGAGAAUGGAAUUCCCGGUGUAGCGGUGAAAUGCGCAGAUAUUGGGAGGAACACCAGUGGCGAAAGCGGACUUCUGGGCCAUUCCUGACGCUGAGGUACGAAAGCCAGGGGAGCAAACGGG